Long non-coding RNA from Mustela lutreola (European mink), 2851 nucleotides. RefSeq lists it as uncharacterized. The record is from RefSeq and is a predicted model, not a curated record. The transcript has 3 exons. NCBI's taxonomy places the organism in Eukaryota, Metazoa, Chordata, Mammalia, Carnivora, Mustelidae.
GGAGGUGCAAAAUAUUUAGUAGAAUUCUCCUUACAUUUCCUUGUUUACAGUUGAGUCACAUGCUUCAGGGGAGCCUGAGAAAGAGAAUAUUUGGCAUUUUUUUGCCUCUGGACGGGGAGGCAGGUUCUGAUCAGCAGGGAGAAAGAGACGGGGCAAGUAGCUGCUGUGUAAGAGGGUCAGUGCACUCUGUGACCCACACUCCCAGUUACCAUGACAAGCAAGGGACACUAGCCACAGAGCCAACUUAGUAGCUCUUUGACCUAAUUGGCACUCCUUUUCCCUUAGCAAAUCUGUUUCAGGAAAGAGCACACUUUGGAACCUUGAUGGCGACAAGACGCGCUCUCUACACAGCAAAAUCCAAAUGUUCAUUCAACAGAUUUACACAGAGCCCCUGAAUACUUGGUGGGUGUUGUGCUAGCCCCUAAGGAUAUAGUAAUGGUUAACACAGCAAGCUCUUGUCAUCAAGGAACUUCGAGUCUUAGCAGAAGAUGCAGACAGGUAGAUAGGCAACUCUGUAAGAGUGACCCAAACUGCUGCUGUUUAGGUUAUGAGAGGUGGUGUUGGGGAUAUUGCAGGAGGCGUCCUGGGGAAAAUAACAUCUAAGCUAAGACCCAAAAGAUAUUAGCUAGAAGAAAGGUAGUGUGUGUAUGUGCGUGUGCGUGUGUGUGUGUGUGUGUGUGUGUGUGUGUUUCCAUGCAUGGUUGCAGGAUGACUACACUUUCCAGGUAAGGGGAAUAUGAAAUAGUUUAUCAAGGCUGUAGUUACAGUGCAAGGGAGGAAUUGUCAGAGAUACAACCCUGAACUUCACCUUCAAAAAAAGCAAUUUAGAGUUACAUUCAUAUUAGCAUUUCCCCCUUAAGACCUUUCACUUAAAAUAUGAAUGCACUGAAUGUAUUUUCCCUUUGCUAAACUAAUAAGACACAACUAUUAAAACUCAGGAAAUUGAUUUUUGGUUCCCAGUCUCCAGUGACAUUAGGUAUCAACUUUCUGUCUUCAUAGGCUGGAACCAUUUCUUGGAAUUGAAUUUAUAAAGACUUCUUUUGCUCUGUCCGAAUUGAAUUUAUAAAGACUUCUUUUGCUCUGUCCAUCUCAUGUUUCCAAAUCUUGAUUUUGCUUUGCUUUUUUAUGCCUACUAAGUGGGUGAGUAUAGCCAGUAAAGACCACUCUCUCCCUUGAGAUGGAGUCCAGAGUUCCAGCCUACAUCUUGUAAGAUGUCCCACCCACAUGAACUUCAAAGUUACCUUGGUGUGUCUAAUUUUAAGUUAUCAGAGACUGAGCCUGUGUUGAUUAUUUUUUUUUCUUUUUUGGCUGUGUUUUAGGAUAAUGAGCUAUCAGAAACCGGGGAUAUUGGCUUAACACUAGCAGGAGUAAUCAAAUCUCCCACCCUUCCCUCUGGAUCCCCACUCUCCGGAAAGAGUGACAUGAACAUAUUCCCCGCUCUCUUGGAGCUUCCUUAUUCAAUACAAGACCAGGGUAAGCUGAAUGAGCACAAGAACUUAACAUCCCAGCCAUUGUAACUUUGAAAAAGUGUCCAACAUGGACCCACAACAUUGCUGAGUGAAAUUUCAGUCAACUAGCGUGUAUGAUUUUAUCAAGUUGGCAUCACCACAAUGCAGAGAGUAUGCACUUUGAACGUCUUUCUGAAGCUGCGGCUGGUACCCUGCCGAUGUAUUGCUACUCUUUGAGCUGCAGACAAGGAGAAUGCAAUGUGAAUAAAGAGCAGAGAACUGAGGUCUGUGUCUACACAAGGAAUCCCAAAGAUUGCAAUAAAACCACCAGAACCAAGUUGAGAGGCAUGGAGCAGAUUCUCCCUCACAGCCCUCAGAACCAACCAACCUGCUGACCCUUUGGUCUUGGAUUUCUAGCCUCCCAAACAGUUGCCUUUUCAUUUUCUUGAUGGCUUCUUUUGCUCAACACCCAAAAAUGAGUAACCCGAUUAAAAAAUGGACAGAAGACAUGAAUAGAUAUUUCUCCAAAGAAGACCAACAGAUGGCCAGUGGACACAGGAAAAGAUAUUCAUCAUCACUUAUCAGAGAAGAUCAAAUCAAAAUCACAAUGAGAUAUCACCGCACACCUGUCAAAAUGGCUCAAGACAACAACAUAAAAAACAACAGGUGUUGGCAAAGAUGUGGAGAAAAAGGAACCCUCGUGCGCUGUUGGUGGGAAACGCAAACUGGGGAAGCCACUUCAGAAAACAGAGUGGAGGUUAAAACAAACAGUUAAAGAUAGAACUACAUUAUGAUCCCACACUAUUGGGUAUUUACCCAAAGAAGAAGAAAAAAUACUAAUUCAAAGGGAUACAUGCACCCCUAUGUUUAUAGUAGCACAUUAUCUACACUAGCCAAGAUCUGGAAGCAACCCAAGCGUCCAUCAGUUGAUGGAUGGGUAAAGAAGAUGUGACAUCUAUACAAUGGGAUGUUAUUCAAUCAUGAGAAAGAGUGAAAUCUGGCCAUUUACAACUACAUAAAUUGAGCUGGAGGGCAUAAUGCCAAGUGAAAUAAGUCAGUCAGAAAAAGACAAAUACCAAAUGAUUUCACUCAUAUGUGGAGCUUAAGAAACACAGGAGGAGAAGAAGAGACAAAACACCAGACCCUUAACCAUAGAGAACAAACUGAUGGUUCCAGAGGGGAGGCGGGUGGGGCGAAGGCGGGAACAGGUGAAGGGGAUGAAGAAAACGCCUCUCCCGUUGAGCAUGGAGUAGUGCACAGAACGGCUGAAUCACUAUAGUACACGAAUAUAAUACUAUAGAAACUAACAGGAUACUAUGGCAACUACGCUGGAAUUAAAAUUUUAAAAAUUAAAAAAUAAAAGUUUAUUUUAAAGUAAAAAAAUAAGGACACGUGACGUAAUU